Sitophilus oryzae (rice weevil) is the source of this 1086-nucleotide long non-coding RNA. RefSeq lists it as uncharacterized. The transcript is spliced from 3 exons. Lineage: Eukaryota; Metazoa; Arthropoda; Insecta; Coleoptera; Curculionidae. The record is from RefSeq and is a predicted model, not a curated record.
AUUGACUAAAAAAUAUAAACCCAUAUGGAUAAAAAUCCAUAUGGGUUUAAAAUUUACCUAGCUACCUACGAAAGUUUAACAUUUUUAUUUCGUUGUGCAACUCGAAACAGUCUUUUAUUGAAAAACUUUUUUCUUCGACAUUACUUAAAUUCGUUUAACUCAAUAGGAGUUAAUAGUGAAAUUUAUACAAAAAUGGUGCCAUAAGAACAAGAAUAUAUUAUAUUUACGGCAUUUCUUUAUUCUGAAAAGACCGACUGAUCAAACAGUUUUGGGGAAGUUAUCCUUUAAUUAUUUCUAAUAAUUGUAAAUAAAGAAAUGUAAAUUAGCAUUGUACGAGAAAAUAUUUCCCAACAUAGUUUUUUAUUUCCAUUUUUCUAGCCUUUUAUGAGCUGUUGAGUUAUUGCAGCAUCUCAAGUUUUUCGAGAUCGAGAAAUCUGGAAAAAAAUUCUCGAUCUCGAAAAAUCUCGAAGGCAUUUUCUCGAUCUCGACUCGAAAAAAAAAUCUGUCUCGUCUCGAAAUCGAGAAUUUCGAGAAUCUCGUGAAACCUUAGAUUCUCCCAAAAGUUUAAUUUUCCAGGUGUGAUAGGCUGCAUUGACUACACAUAUCGCUAUUUACCCGCCUAAGAUAGAUGAUCCAGACCAUCCAGAACACAUUUAUGUAAAUAGAAAAAGAUAUCAUUCCAUCAAUGUACAACUGAUAUGUGAUGCUAAUCUUAAAAUCAUUAACAUCACUGCAAGAUAUCCGGGUGGAAAUAAUGAGGCAUUUAUUUUGAGCGAUUCUAACGUUCAAAGGUUGCUACAACAGUUGUAUGCUAGGGGGCAUACUGAUUAUUUUUUUUUUAAGUGAGGAGAUUUUGGUUAUCCACUACGAACAUGGUGUUUCACUCCAUUAGAAAAUGAGCCAGCGGAGAAUACACCAAAAUAUGUUUACAAUCGUUGCCACAAAACAACACGGAGCAUCACUGAGAGAUGUAAUGAGAUUUCGUUGUUGCCUCAAACAUAGAGUGUUGCAUUAUGACUGUAACAGCGUGCAAAAUUAUAAAUUCUUGUGCAUUUUUACACAAAUUAUGUAUUGAACAUAACAUAC